This 345-nucleotide ribosomal RNA is filed under the name uncultured bacterium. RNAcentral describes it as "partial 16S ribosomal RNA". It matches the Rfam family "Bacterial small subunit ribosomal RNA", at positions 338 to 699 of the family's 1533-position model. The record is from RNAcentral.
CCUACGGGAGGCAGCAGUAGGGAAUUUUGCGCAAUGGACGAAAGCCUGACGCAGCAACGCCGCGUGCUUGAUUAAGCCCUUCGGGGUGUAAAGAUCUGUCAGUGGGGACGAAACUUGACGGUACCCACAGAGGAAGCACCGGCUAACUCCGUGCCAGCAGCCGCGGUAAUACGGAGGGUGCAAGCGUUGUCCGGAAUCAUGGGGCGUAAAGAGUUCGUAGGUGGUAUAGUAAGUCUGGGGUUAAAUGCAGAAGCUUAACUUCUGUUCGGCACUGGAUACUGGUAAGCUGGAAUGCGGGAGUGGCAAAGGGAAUUACUGGUGUAGCGGUGAAAUGCGUAGAUAUCA